This is a long non-coding RNA of Solanum lycopersicum (tomato), 2492 nucleotides long. RefSeq lists it as uncharacterized. The record is from RefSeq and is a predicted model, not a curated record. NCBI's taxonomy places the organism in Eukaryota, Viridiplantae, Streptophyta, Magnoliopsida, Solanales, Solanaceae.
GGAUCUAUGAGGCUAGUGGGCCAAAUAAGACAGAGCUGAAAAAUCUUAUUCUUAAAUGAGCCAACAAAAUAGGCUCAACCCCACUUAAUUUAGGGGUUAGGUUGGGCAGGCUUAUAUAGUGGACAAAACCCAUUUUGAUAGUUGUACUUAUAUACACUCAGAAUGAGUUUUGAGAAAUUUGACAACGUUGAAACCGAGAAACCUUUAGUCAGUGAAAUAUUGAAGCAAAAAAUUGUGAUUUUCGAUUAUGGAUUAAGGAAUUUUCGUCUGGAAUUGAUAGGAAUUGGAAUAAUUGGAGGGAUGUUGAGGUUCAGGAGGUGGUGAAGGUAGCAAAGUAGUUGCCGGGGCUAUGGAUUCCGGUGAUUGGAAGACUAAACUUUUGCGUGAUUUGCGUCAAAGGAUUGGCAACAUUAUGAAAUAAAUUUGUCUUUUGGAGCAGGGUAACUGUUAUGUCGAAUUAUUUUUAAUAUAUUUGAGAAGCAUUUAUCUUGAUUGUGAUCUUAUCAAGACUUUGUUCUUGAUACGUGGAAAUGUCAGGUUGUUGCUGGAGCUAAUUGCAUUAUAACUACUAAUAUUUGUUUAGAGGAAACACGAUUUAGUCGUUUAUAGCAGAGGCAUAUCGAGUUAUUUUUAAUAUAUUUGAGUAGUAUUUAUCGAGAUAUGGUUGUAUAGAAUGGAGACCUUAAAGAGGCAUGUUCUGUCUCUCGGCGAGAAAGAGUACAUGAGCUUAAAGGAAAUUGUUGUGACGUUUGAAGAAAAGAUAUAUUAUGCUGCUAAAAGUCAGGUAUAUAGUCUAAACUUGUUUCUAUUUGUUCAUAUUGUAAAGUUACCUCAUGAGGGCGGGGGUAAUUUCCAAGACCUUAUAAGGAAGCCAUCCGUCUCUUUUUCAUCUGAUGUGGGACUCUUGAUGCAUUUGUUCUCUUUAAAACCACCCAUCCCUCUUUAUCCGAUGUGGGAUUCUUCAACAUGAAUGAUGCAAUUUAUUCUCCACUUCAUUGAUGUUAUUUCUGCUUUUAUAAACUUGCAUUCGUCUUCUCCACUUCAUUGAUGUUAUUUCUGCUUUUAUAAACUUGCAUUCGUCUUUUCCGUCAUCAAGACGCAUUGUAUUAGGGAUGGCGAGCGGAGCAGUACAGUGUGCUUGCGGGACAAACCUGCAAUGAUUUCAAUCUCCCGCCUGUAACAUUAUGUUUAUGUUGAAUUUCACACUUUUAAACAAACAUAUUAGUCACUAUUUUAGCACUUUUACCAAGACAUUGUUGUCAUAAAAAAAAUAGAUGCACUUAUAUUUACUCUCAUGAAUGUUCUUAUAGCAGGGAAAUGGAAGAGUGUGAUACUAUAUAUCAGUUCAUCUUAACUAUGAGAUCAGUAAAUUUUAUCAAUUUAUUAUUUAUUUCUGUAAAAUACCUCUUACGUGAUGAAAAGACCAAAAAACAGGGUUAAUUUUGUGUAUUGACAUAUUUUUCUCACAUAAAUAGUAUAGUAUCAUAUAAAUUAUAAUUCCCCAAAAGCACUCACUGUCAACACAAAAAUGGAAAUAGUUAAGUUAUAUAGAAUUAAAUUAAAUAAUGUCAUAUUUGAGUAACCAACAUAGAUUCACAAAUUCUAGUUUUAACACUAAUUUUUAAAAUUAACCACCACAUAAAAAUUAUUAGAUCUAAUUUAAAUAUCUUUCCACACCCAAGGAACCGCCACAAGGUAGGUUUAAGAUCUGUGCAUACUUUAUCCACCCUAGAUUUGAUAUGUUGUAGUUUGCACUUGCAUGCCUAAGGAAGUUUAGUAUUAAGAACUUAAUUUAUUUAUUUUAUUGUUUAAACUACUGUUGAGAGAUGUUUAACUUCAUGUGAAGGUCAGCGACUCUGCGUACACUCGACCCUCCGCAGACCCACUUGUGGGGUUACUUUUGCUAUGUUGUUGUUUAAGCCUGCUGCAUCAGUUUUGUAAGAAAAAAAAUUAAACCCACCCUGCAUAGGCUAACCCUGUUUGACAACACUAUGUUGUAUGUAUUUUAACUAACACUUAUCUAAUAUUGGAGCAAGAUUAUCUUGAACAGAUAUCUUCAAAGAUGUUGACCUUAGAUACAAGAUCUCGAAAUCUUAUUCAGCCAAAUCCUGCAAGUUGUUGAAUGAGGGUAUCAAAUGCAAAAAAUCAAUUCUCCAGUGUUGAUGAUGAAGAAUAGAACCUGUCAAAACCUCGAUUUGAAGUGUAUUGUGGACGAGACUGAUGAUUUGAUAAGAAAUGCUGAUUUUUGCUUUGCUCCUGCUACUUAGAACAAAUACAGUGGCCGAUCAUCUAGCUAAAUUAGCUACAAGCAAAGCCAAAUUUUUUCUAAGGUAAUUUAUAUAGCCUUUAGAUAUGUGGAAUGUAAAGCAAUGUCGUGCAUGUUGAAUCAUUCUCCUUCUGCCUGGAUUGCCUUGCGGUAAUCUCUGAUGUAUAUACAGUGCCACGAUAUGUAAUCUCUGAUGUAAUAUGAACAUUCUCGUUGUUUGCACUUG